CUUGUGGAGGUCCAAAAAGGAGGUCUAGCUGCUGGACCAUAACAUCUGGGUUUGGAAUUCUUCCAAAAACAACCUCACAAUCCUUCCUGAACUGCCUGUUGGCUUGCCAUUGCAUCAUGGCUAUCAUGUUAUUUAGAGUAUCCUGGCUCCUUUGCUCUGCAGCUUCUUGUCGGAGUAAAAUAUCCUGUAUCUGGUUCAUCCUUCUAGAACUAGAUCUGGAACGUCUACUCCUAGUGCUUCCAUGGGCUAAAUGC
This 254-nucleotide long non-coding RNA is filed under the name Prunus persica (peach). RNAcentral's name for it is "long non-coding RNA (PPER_LNC008007)". Lineage: Eukaryota; Viridiplantae; Streptophyta; Magnoliopsida; Rosales; Rosaceae. The record is from RNAcentral.